CGGGAAGUAGCUCAGCUUGGUAGAGCAACAUGGUUUGGGACCAUGGGGUCGCAGUUUCGAUCCUGUCUUCCCGC
Molecule: transfer RNA, 74 nt
Filed under: Bacillus velezensis
Lineage: Bacteria; Bacillati; Bacillota; Bacilli; Caryophanales; Bacillaceae
Description: tRNA-Pro
Source: RNAcentral